RNAcentral lists this long non-coding RNA (217 nucleotides) under Phoenix dactylifera (date palm). Its description in RNAcentral is "long non-coding RNA (PDAC_LNC007016)". Lineage: Eukaryota; Viridiplantae; Streptophyta; Magnoliopsida; Arecales; Arecaceae. The record is from RNAcentral.
AUUGAAUAUGCUUGCAACUAAAGGAUGCGCGGAUAAGAGUUAAGCAAGCAAUUUAUCUAAGUAAGUAAGUGUGUUAGUUAGACAAUGACAAGAGGCAUUACAAACACAACAAACAUAUAGUGGUUCGGUGCACCCCAGCACCUACAUCCACUCCCCAAGACCUCUUGGGAAUUUCACUAUAAUCCUACAGAUUACAGCCGGUUGUUUUACAAGCUCA